Oryza glumipatula is the source of this 188-nucleotide non-coding RNA. Lineage: Eukaryota; Viridiplantae; Streptophyta; Magnoliopsida; Poales; Poaceae. The record is from Rfam.
UUUUAGUGCAGUUGUGAGUUUCUGUGUAAUUUAAAACGUUUCUACCAUUAAUAUUUUUAUUAUUAUUAGAUGAUAAAACAUAAAUAGUAUUUUAUACGUCACUUAUUUUUUUUAAUCUUCUCAUAAAUUUUUCAAAUAAGAAGUAUGGUUAAAAGUUGAACACGGAAAGCCACAAAACUACACUUGAA